This 460-nucleotide ribosomal RNA is filed under the name uncultured bacterium. RNAcentral's name for it is "partial 16S ribosomal RNA". It matches the Rfam family "Bacterial small subunit ribosomal RNA", at positions 338 to 795 of the family's 1533-position model. The record is from RNAcentral.
CCUACGGGUGGCAGCAGUGAGGAAUAUUGGUCAAUGGGCGCAAGCCUGAACCAGCCAAGCAGCGUGAAGGAAGACGGCUCUAUGGGUUGUAAACUUCUUUUGUAAAGGAGUAAAGUCAGAUACGUGUGCCUUUUUGAAAGUACUUUAUGAAUAAGGAUCGGCUAACUCCGUGCCAGCAGCCGCGGUAAUACGGAGGAUUCAAGCGUUAUCCGGAUUUAUUGGGUUUAAAGGGAGCGUAGGUGGUUGGAUAAGUUAGGUGUGAAAUCUGGGGGCUCAACCGUAGAAUUGCCUGUGAUACUGGCGGGCUAGAGUUUAGUUGAGGUAGGCGGAAUGUAUGGUGUAGCGGUGAAAUGCAUAGAGAUCAGAAAGAACACCGAUGGCGAAGGCAGCUUACCAAACUACGACUGACGUUGAGGCACGAAAGCGUGGGGAGCAAACAGGAUUAGAUACCCGAGUAGUC